This 155-nucleotide unclassified non-coding RNA is filed under the name uncultured fungus. Its description in RNAcentral is "sequence contains ITS1". The record is from RNAcentral. Lineage: Eukaryota; Fungi.
UUGAUUCUUUUUUGAUUCAGACACAAACACCGGACAGCAUAAAUGCGGCAGGUCAAGAGCGACUCUGCCGAAGCACGUCUCGCUUCCACAGGUUUGAAGGGUCUAGGUCUUGCGACCUUUCAUUAAUGAUCCCUCCGCAGGUUCACCUACGGAGA